Molecule: non-coding RNA, 82 nt
Organism: Abortiporus biennis
Lineage: Eukaryota; Fungi; Basidiomycota; Agaricomycetes; Polyporales; Podoscyphaceae
Source: the annotation of a GenBank genome assembly
GCCCGUUUAGCUCAGUGGUAGAGCGCACCACUCGUAUACGGAGAAAAUGGUGAGGUCGGUUGUUCAACCCAGCCAAUGGGCA